AGAGUUUGAUCAUGGCUCAGGACGAACGCUGGCGGCGCGCUUAACACAUGCAAGUCGAGCGAGAACCAGUCCUUCGGGGCUGGGGACAGCGGCGAACGGGUGAGUAACACGUGGGUAAUCUGCCCUCGGCACCGGAAUAGCCCGGGGAAACCCGGAUUAAUGCCGGAUGGCCUCUCUGCCCUACGGGGCGGCGAGAAAAGGUAGCUUUGGCCUCCGGCCGAGGAUGAGCCCGCGGCCGAUUAGCUUGUUGGUGAGGUAACGGCUCACCAAGGCGACGAUCGGUAGCUGGUCUGAGAGGACGAUCAGCCACACUGGGACUGAGACACGGCCCAGACUCCUACGGGAGGCAGCAGUGGGGAAUCUUGCGCAAUGGGCGAAAGCCUGACGCAGCGACGCCGCGUGCGGGAAGAAGGCCUUCGGGUUGUAAACCGCUUUCAGGAGGGACGAAGCCACUCAGGUUAAUAGCCGAGAGGGUGACGGUACCUCCAGAAGAAGCCCCGGCUAACUACGUGCCAGCAGCCGCGGUA
RNAcentral lists this ribosomal RNA (527 nucleotides) under uncultured Actinomycetes bacterium. RNAcentral describes it as "bacterial SSU rRNA". It matches the Rfam family "Bacterial small subunit ribosomal RNA", at positions 8 to 522 of the family's 1533-position model. Lineage: Bacteria; Bacillati; Actinomycetota; Actinomycetes. The record is from RNAcentral.